UAAGGAAUAUUGGACAAUGGACGAAAGUCUGAUCCAGCCAUGCCGCGUGCAGGAUGACAGCCCUACGGGUUGUAAACUGCUUUUAUACAGGAAGAAACACUCCGACGUGUCGGAGCUUGACGGUACUGUAAGAAUAAGGAUCGGCUAACUCCGUGCCAGCAGCCGCGGUAAUACGGAGGAUCCAAGCGUUAUCCGGAAUCAUUGGGUUUAAAGGGUCCGCAGGCUGUUUUUUAAGUCAGAGGUGAAAUCCUACAGCUCAACUGUAGAACUGCCUUUGAUACUGGAAAACUUGAGUUAUUGUGAAGUGGUUAGAAUGUGUGGUGUAGCGGUGAAAUGCAUAGAUAUCACACAGAAUACCGAUUGCGAAGGCAGAUCACUAACAAUAUACUGACGCUCAUGGACGAAAGCGUGGGGAGCGAACAGGAUUAGAUACCCUGGUAGUCCACGCCGUAAACGAUGGAUACUAGCUGUUCGUCUAACAUUGGUUAGAUGAGUGGCUAAGCGAAAGUGAUAAGUAUCCCACCUGGGGAGUACGGUCGCAAGACUG
This 547-nucleotide ribosomal RNA is filed under the name uncultured Flavobacterium sp. RNAcentral's name for it is "bacterial SSU rRNA". It matches the Rfam family "Bacterial small subunit ribosomal RNA", at positions 355 to 896 of the family's 1533-position model. Lineage: Bacteria; Pseudomonadati; Bacteroidota; Flavobacteriia; Flavobacteriales; Flavobacteriaceae. The record is from RNAcentral.